AAGGCCGCAAUGGAUCCAGCCCCCCAGAGGCCUUAAUGAGAAGAGUGCCUGCCAGCCGAGCCCGUCCCCCGAGCCUCAGCAGGAAUCCAGCAGGACCUCGUCACGGGACACAGCCACACGCAGCCCCCAGAUGAAAGAAUCUCUGAACCCUCCUAUAACUUAGCGGCCCCCACUUGGAGAUGUCUCACCUUCUCCGGCCAAACCAACGCAGUGAUUUAUGACUUUACCUGCAGUUCCUGUUUCCCUCAAACCUGCAAAGCCAAACUGCUUCAGGGCUCAAGGCUCCUUGGAUGUGUGGCCAUGGAGCUCUUAUUGGCUCAGAAUAAACCGCUUUAAAUUAUUUUACAGAGUUGGGGGGAGGGUAUUUCUAAUAACACUAGGAAGAGGGAGGAGAGAAUGAGGUCCAAGAGCAUUGCAGAAACCCCUCGGUCCCUGGCAAGCUGGGACAAUCAGUCACCCUAAUGCCAUCACUGAAGUAGCAGCAAGGGCACGAGGAGAAGCUGGGCGGAGCCAAGAGGAUGGUGCAUGAGCGACAAGGGAGCAUCAGAGGUCCCAGCAGGAGAGCAAAGCCCCAGGGAAAGCAUUUGCAGAGCUCAGCUAUAGCUCAGAGCAAGAGCACAACAUGUGGCCAUUUCCUUGUAUGGGCAUCUGGUCAACCAGCUCCCUAACCCUAAACAACCCUUAGCAUCCUGCCUGGCUGGCUGUGCUGCAAAGACAUUUUCCAAAUCAGUGAGAUGGCCGUGACACCUUCACCAACAGAAGAGAUGCUGGAAGAGCUACUAGCCCUUCAGCCCAACUGGUGAGAGCCCAGAAGGAAACUGAGGUGCUCAGAAGAAGGCAGGGCAUCAAGAUUAGAGAACAGAGCCAGAAAACUGAGGAGUGUGCUGUUAACGGAAAAACUUCCAAAUGCUGUAAAAUACUUUAAGGAGUCAAAACAUGUGUUGCGGUGGCCCAGGGAACAUGGUGUCAAAGGCCUUGAGGAAGUGUGCCUGAGGCCCGCCAGGUUACAGUUUAGUUUUAUACACUCUUGGAGGUAGGAAUUGUAGGUGAAACGAGAAAUCUAUACAUGGAAGGUAUACAUUGGUUUGGCCUGAAAAGGCAGGGCGAUUUGAAGUGAAGGCUUAUAGCCAUAGGUGGGCUUUAGGGAGCUUUUAGUUGGCAAUUGGUUAAAAGAGGUUCAACGUUGCC
Microcebus murinus (gray mouse lemur) is the source of this 1188-nucleotide non-coding RNA. Lineage: Eukaryota; Metazoa; Chordata; Mammalia; Primates; Cheirogaleidae. The record is from RefSeq and is a predicted model, not a curated record.